UACAGAGGUCUCAAGCGUUGUUCGGAUUCAUUGGGCGUAAAGGGUGCGUAGGCGGCGCGGUAAGUCGGGUGUGAAAUCUCGGAGCUUAACUCCGAAACUGCAUUCGAUACUGCGGUGCUUGAGGACUGGAGAGGAGACUGGAAUUCAUGGUGUAGCAGUGAAAUGCGUAGAGAUCAGGAAGAACACCAAUGGCGAAGGCAGCUCUCUGGGACGGUACUGACACUGAGACGCGAAAGCGUGGGGAGCGAACAGG
Molecule: ribosomal RNA, 253 nt
Filed under: uncultured bacterium
Lineage: Bacteria
Description: partial 16S ribosomal RNA
Rfam family: Bacterial small subunit ribosomal RNA
Source: RNAcentral